GACGAACGCUGGCGGCGUGCCUAAUACAUGCAAGUAGAACGCUGAAGAGAGGAGCUUGCUCUUCUUGGAUGAGUUGCGAACGGGUGAGUAACGCGUAGGUAACCUGCCUGGUAGCGGGGGAUAACUAUUGGAAACGAUAGCUAAUACCGCAUAAAAUUGAUUAUUGCAUGAUAAUUAAUUGAAAGAUGCAAUUGCAUCACUACCAGAUGGACCUGCGUUGUAUUAGCUAGUUGGUGAGGUAACGGCUCACCAAGGCGACGAUACAUAGCCGACCUGAGAGGGUGAUCGGCCACACUGGGACUGAGACACGGCCCAGACUCCUACGGGAGGCAGCAGUAGGGAAUCUUCGGCAAUGGGGGGAACCCUGACCGAGCAACGCCGCGUGAGUGAAGAAGGUUUUCGGAUCGUAAAGCUCUGUUGUAAGAGAAGAACGGGUGUGAGAGUGGAAAGUUCACACUGUGACGGUAUCUACCAGAAAGGA
Molecule: ribosomal RNA, 481 nt
Filed under: Streptococcus sanguinis
Lineage: Bacteria; Bacillati; Bacillota; Bacilli; Lactobacillales; Streptococcaceae
Description: bacterial SSU rRNA
Rfam family: Bacterial small subunit ribosomal RNA
Source: RNAcentral